AAACUAACAAGGAUUCCCCUAGUAACGGCGAGUGAACAGGGAAGAGCUCAAAUUUGUAAUCUGGCGUCCCUUGGGCGUCCGAGUUGUAAUCUAUAGAAGCGUUUUCCGUGCUGGACCAUGUCCAAGUCCCUUGGAACAGGGUAUCAAAGAGGGUGACAAUCCCGUGCUUGACAUGACGACCAGUGCUCUGUGAUACGUUCUCUACGAGUCGAGUUGUUUGGGAAUGCAGCUCAAAAUGGGUGGUGAGUUCCAUCUAAAGCUAAAUAUUGGCGAGAGACCGAUAGCGAACAAGUACCGUGAGGGAAAGAUGAAAAGCACUUUGGAAAGAGAGUUAAACAGUACGUGAAAUUGUUGAAAGGGAAACGAUUGAAGUCAGUCGUGUCCGAGGGGUUCAGCCGGUCCCGCCGGUGUAUUCCCCUCGGACGGGUCAACGUCAGUUUGGAUCGGCGGAAAAGGGCAGUUGGAAGGUAGCAGCUCCGGUUGUGUUAUAGCCUUCUGUCGCAUACGCUGGUCCAGACUGAGGAAUGCAGCUCGCCUUCAUGGCUGGGGUUCUCCCACAUUCGAGCUUAGGAUGUUGACAUAAUGGCUUUAAACGAC
This 597-nucleotide ribosomal RNA is filed under the name Kockovaella barringtoniae. Its description in RNAcentral is "eukaryotic LSU rRNA". It matches the Rfam family "Eukaryotic large subunit ribosomal RNA", at positions 62 to 648 of the family's 3401-position model. The record is from RNAcentral. Lineage: Eukaryota; Fungi; Basidiomycota; Tremellomycetes; Tremellales; Cuniculitremaceae.